Molecule: ribosomal RNA, 322 nt
Filed under: Calliptamus barbarus
Lineage: Eukaryota; Metazoa; Arthropoda; Insecta; Orthoptera; Acrididae
Description: partial 16S ribosomal RNA
Rfam family: Bacterial large subunit ribosomal RNA
Source: RNAcentral
UGAAUGGCUUGACGAUAAAUCAACUGUCUCUUAAUAAUUUUUAAAAUUUAACUUUUGAGUCAAAAGGCUUAAAUUUUUCUUUAGGACGAGAAGACCCUAUAGAGCUUAACAUUUUAUUUUUAUAUAGUUUUUAGUUGAUCUUUCUAUAUUUAAUGAUAAUGUUUUGUUGGGGUGACAUGAAGAAUAAUUAAACUCUUCAUUAUAAAAUCAUUGAUUUAUGUUUAUCAUGAUCCAUAAUUUAUGAUCAUAAGAUUAAGUUACCUUAGGGAUAACAGCGUAAUUGUUUUCGAGAGCUCAUAUCGACAAAGCAGAUUGCGACCUC